GACGAACGCUGGCGGCGUGCUUAACACAUGCAAGUCGAACGGAAAGGCCCUGCUUUUGUGGGGUGCUCGAGUGGCGAACGGGUGAGUAACACGUGAGUAACCUGCCCUUGACUUUGGGAUAACUUCAGGAAACUGGGGCUAAUACCGGAUAGGAGCUCCUGCUGCAUGGUGGGGGUUGGAAAGUUUCGGCGGUUGGGGAUGGACUCGCGGCUUAUCAGCUUGUUGGUGGGGUAGUGGCUUACCAAGGCUUUGACGGGUAGCCGGCCUGAGAGGGGGACCGGCCACAUUGGGCCUGAGAUACGGCCCAGACUCCUACGGGAGGCAGCAGUGGGAAAUAUUGCACAAUGGGCGGAAGCCUGAUGCAGCAACGCCGCGUGCGGGAUGACGGCCUUCGGGUUGUAAACCGCUUUCGCCUGUGACGAAGCGUGAGUGACGGUAAUGGGUAAAGAAGCACCGGCUAACUACGUG
RNAcentral lists this ribosomal RNA (468 nucleotides) under uncultured bacterium. RNAcentral's name for it is "partial 16S ribosomal RNA". It matches the Rfam family "Bacterial small subunit ribosomal RNA", at positions 28 to 507 of the family's 1533-position model. The record is from RNAcentral.